Biomphalaria pfeifferi is the source of this 464-nucleotide non-coding RNA. NCBI's taxonomy places the organism in Eukaryota, Metazoa, Mollusca, Gastropoda, Planorbidae. The record is from the annotation of a GenBank genome assembly.
AUAGAUAGUGUCGUACUUCAACAAUAACAAAACCAUGUUACAUUCAAAGCUUUAUUACAAUGAAUGACAAACAACUACACACGUAGUAGAGAUCACAACACGACAUAGGGUCAGUACACAGUCUAACAAAUGUAAACAAACACUAGGGGCGACAAUCAAAUAAAUAUAUUCGCGAUAGAUAGAUAUCACGCAGAAUGUUUGGAUUAUAAUUCCAAACACCUUGAUCUACAUUUAAAGUUAUAAUAACCCUAUCCUUGACAACUCACCCUUCAUUUCUCAAUGUUGACCUAGUGCCGGCAUUCGGGCUCUUCUUGAGAAAAGCGGACGUCACCUGAUCUGAAGUUCUUUCCGGGGGCACAGGCUCUUUAGGUGUCUUGGUGGACAGCCUGAUCGCUGCGGAAAGCAAACGACGGUAGGUAACAAGAAAAAUAUUUUAAGGAAGACUUAACUUAUAUAUUUUGUAG